GCUCAUAGUAGAGCAAAUGGGGUUUUAGCUGUAGCAGCUAGUCCCUGGUUAGGAGAGGACAAGAUUAUCAG
Molecule: unclassified non-coding RNA, 71 nt
Filed under: Arabidopsis thaliana (thale cress)
Lineage: Eukaryota; Viridiplantae; Streptophyta; Magnoliopsida; Brassicales; Brassicaceae
Description: partial miscellaneous RNA
Source: RNAcentral